GAUGAACGCUAGCUACAGGCUUAACACAUGCAAGUCGAGGGGCAUCAGGAAGAAAGCUUGCUUUCUUUGCUGGCGACCGGCGCACGGGUGAGUAACACGUAUCCAACCUGCCCUUUACUCGGGGAUAGCCUUUCGAAAGAAAGAUUAAUACCCGAUGGCAUAAUGAUUCCGCAUGGUUUCAUUAUUAAAGGAUUCCGGUAAAGGAUGGGGAUGCGUUCCAUUAGGUUGUUGGUGAGGUAACGGCUCACCAAGCCUUCGAUGGAUAGGGGUUCUGAGAGGAAGGUCCCCCACAUUGGAACUGAGACACGGUCCAAACUCCUACGGGAGGCAGCAGUGAGGAAUAUUGGUCAAUGGGCGUUAGCCUGAACCAGCCAAGUAGCGUGAAGGAUGAAGGCUCUAUGGGUCGUAAACUUCUUUUAUAUAAGAAUAAAGUGCAGUAUGUAUACUGUUUUGUAUGUAUUAUAUGAAUAAGGAUCGGCUAACUCCGUGCCAGCAGCCGCGGUAAUACGGAGGAUCCGAGCGUUAUCCGGAUUUAUUGGGUUUAAAGGGAGCGUAGGUGGACUGGUAAGUCAGUUGUGAAAGUUUGCGGCUCAACCGUAAAAUUGCAGUUGAUACUGUCAGUCUUGAGUACAGUAGAGGUGGGCGGAAUUCGUGGUGUAGCGGUGAAAUGCUUAGAUAUCACGAAGAACUCCGAUUGCGAAGGCAGCUCACUGGACUGCAACUGACACUGAUGCUCGAAAGUGUGGGUAUCAAACAGG
RNAcentral lists this ribosomal RNA (758 nucleotides) under uncultured bacterium. RNAcentral's name for it is "bacterial SSU rRNA". It matches the Rfam family "Bacterial small subunit ribosomal RNA", at positions 28 to 776 of the family's 1533-position model. The record is from RNAcentral.